Long non-coding RNA from Puntigrus tetrazona (Sumatra barb), 297 nucleotides. RefSeq lists it as uncharacterized. The transcript has 4 exons. The record is from RefSeq and is a predicted model, not a curated record. NCBI's taxonomy places the organism in Eukaryota, Metazoa, Chordata, Actinopteri, Cypriniformes, Cyprinidae.
GGAGCAGACACACACACACACCCGAGCACAGGAGUGGUCAGUCAGCAUCACGAUACACACUCGGAUCAGUGGACGAGUCAUGAGCCGAUGAUUGCUGGGAAUGAUGAGCAGAGCGUCUUUAUCAGUGAAGUGGAGUCUUCCUCAGUUUCCUCACAGAUUCCAGACUUGGUCCAGCAUCUCCUCAUGAGUGUGUCUCAUGCCGGGACUCUGGAAGCGGCGUCACAGAUUUGUCUGGAGCUGCGUGUGAUGCUGCUGGAUAUGAUCCUGGUCUCAGCAGCUUUCCAGCGGUUCAAGAGA